CGUACUCGUGGAUGUCCUCCUGCCCAGCAGCUGAGAAGUCGAUGUACAGCAUGCUGACGAUCACUGAGUUUUGAAGACCGACGCUCUGAGAGGUGAAGGUGUCUACAGUGGCCGAGCUGGGAUUUUAACCACUGAGUCGGUGGAAAAACUGAGACCUGCAGAAAGAAAGCAGCUUGCCAGCCAGCGGUGGCAGAGCCCACUGCACCUGGCUCUCCAAGUGCACUCUGUAAAGGGGGUCACUGUCAUGGAGGGGCAGUUCUCCAGGUCUGCGGAUGGAGCCGACUGAGGCCCACAGAGGCAAGGUCUGUCCAAGUCACCUCUCUGAUGCUAGCUUGCUGCAGCUCUACGAUUUCCUCCCCAUCCCUGGCCCCCCAAUCAUCUUUUGAAUACAGAACAGGCCGAAGACACAUGAAGGAAAGGAAAGCACCCUCAGCAAGGAUGCUCUCGGAGCCAGGCAUUGUGACCUGUGUUAUCUCAUUUCCUCUUAACGACCGCCUAUCUAGGGCAUUCAUCACCCUCUCCUACAGGUGAGCCCUGUUGGAUGGUCAGUACAUGGAUGUGGCCCUGGUCUGUCUGACCUCAGCCCUGGGCCCCCUCCUCAGGUCCUGCUCAGCCACACAAGAAGGCAGGGACUAGCCUUGGCUGUGCCAGCCACUGCCCAUGUGACAGCAGUGAAGUCCUUUCCUCUCUCUGCACCUCUGUUUCUGUACCUGCACAAUGAGAGGUUCUAGCCUGGUCAGGCAGAGGGCAAAAUGGGUCCAGGGCACAGGCUUUCUGGGCCCAUAGCCCAGGGAAGGGGGAUAAGAGAGACAGGAUAGAUGCUGUCUGCUAGUAAACCUAACUGGCACUAUGGUGAUGGAAAAGCUGAGUGCCAACUUCCCCAGCAAACUCUACAGCUAGGCAUGGCCAUAUGACCAAGUUCAAAAUAAUGAGACCAAGAAGAAAUCUUUUGAAGGCUUCUGAAAUGCUUUUGCUUUCCUGAUAAAGGGCCAUCUGUGGCUGGCACCUCCCUUCCCCUCUUCCAACCUUGAACAUGGACAUGAUGUCUGGAGUUGUGGCAGCCAUUUUGCAGUUAUGAGGCCCAGAGACUCUCAGACAGACCAGCUAGGACACUGUUGAAUCCCUGAACUGACACAGCAGCUGCCUAGUUCUAGACUUCUAGUUAUGUAAGAAAAACAAAGGCCAUUUUUUCAAACCACUGUCAGUCAGGGUUUAUGACUGUACUAGCAAGGUUGGUCAGCAGCUCUGUGGUUAUACCAAUCAUUUACCAUUAACAGUGUUAGUACAUUUUUAAUAUUACCCCUAGAUAUAGAAGAUCAACCAUAGUACAAGAGAGGCCAAGGGUCCACAGGGGAAGGAGAUAGGUGAGGAGGAGUUAUGAAUCAUGAAGGUGGAAAAAUAAGGCACUGUAAUAGUAGAAAUAGGCAAGGGUCAUAUUGGUAUGAUCUCAAAGGACCCAGGGCAGGAGUUGGCAGUGGUGCAGCCACCCAGGAAGUUGGAGGAGACUAGUUGGUGGGAUGGAGGAAGGAGGAGACCUGGGACCCUGGCCUCAACUUCCCCCACCAGCAUACCCACAUCCUGAACCCCAGCUGACCUCCAAU
Molecule: long non-coding RNA, 1601 nt
Organism: Camelus dromedarius (Arabian camel)
Lineage: Eukaryota; Metazoa; Chordata; Mammalia; Artiodactyla; Camelidae
Exons: 3
Source: RefSeq, a predicted model, not a curated record